AAUUCUCGCCGGACUUGUUUCUAGAGAGAAAGAGUUGAGAGGAUUUGAGGGUUAGAGAGAGAAAGUUUAGUUGAAAUGAAAGAUUUUAGGGGUAAAACCCUUUAUAUAGUGAAGGUUUUGUGGGCUUGGGCACAAGGCCCACAAGCCUGUUUCUAGCAUUUUGAACCCCCCGAUCUCGUUUCUAAAGCCCGUUUUGCACCGGAACGUCGUGUAAUGUCGUACAAUGUCAUUUUAGGAUCGAGGGUAUGUAAAAUAGCGUCGGAAGUUGACGGUUGACGCGUUCGUUCGUCAGUUGCGUUAAAAUCGCGAAAUUUGCUCAAGAGGUCGUUUCUAAUCCGUUUUUCGAUCCGAUUUCGACUGUAACUACUAAAAUUCCAUUACGGAACUAAAUAUAGCGUAAAAUGUAAGUUCUGAAGGUGACAAACGCCUCCGUCGCUUUCGUUUCGUUGCCGAUGCGUUUCCUGCUAUCGCGUUUUUAGUUCACGUUUGCGUUUGGGUCGCACAGAAACCCAAUACAUUCGUAAAAUUAUAUUUAUAAAAUAUUCGUAGAAAAUCCGUAUUUGUCGGCGUUGUCAGUAUUUUGCACGGUAUCAGUUCGUUGUUGCAGAUUCCACGCGAAUCUUCAUACGCGUACUGUAAAGUCGGAUAGACGUCCCUGGGCACUCCAAAUGCCUAAUUAAGUUAAUUUGCGUCUUAAACACUAUUUAUUGUCGUGUUAAUCACCUGUUAAUCACAUAAUUAAGAGCCGUAAAUCACCGGUUGUCACAUUCUCCCCCUGUUACAGAAAUUUCGUCCUCGAAAUUUUGUCUAUGUUGUCUCCUCAUAGUUGUGUCGUUCGCAGGACAUUUUGCAUCACUAAGAACUCAAUGGUUCAACUAAGUUUGUUAUAG
RNAcentral lists this long non-coding RNA (890 nucleotides) under Helianthus annuus (common sunflower). RNAcentral's name for it is "sRNA HanXRQr2_Chr05g0218291". The record is from RNAcentral. Lineage: Eukaryota; Viridiplantae; Streptophyta; Magnoliopsida; Asterales; Asteraceae.